UUGCACUGUUCGUAACCUGUUAACAGUACCGUUCUGAUAAUGGGUUCCAUUCCAGUGCUACAUGACACCCCAAGAUAAUAAAAGGCUGGCUGUUUGUCUGCCUGGCCCCUUUAUUUUGGGAGACAUAA
This is a small nucleolar RNA of Amazona aestiva (blue-fronted amazon), 128 nucleotides long. Lineage: Eukaryota; Metazoa; Chordata; Aves; Psittaciformes; Psittacidae. The record is from Rfam.